UACGUAGGUGGCAAGCGUUGUCCGGAUUUAUUGGGUUUAAAGGGUGCGUAGGCGGCCCCAUAAGUCAGUGCUGAAAUACUCUAGCUCAACCAGAGGGGUGGCAUUGAUACUGCGGGGCUUGAGUGGAGUCGAGGUAGGCGGAAUUGACGGUGUAGCGGUGAAAUGCUUAGAUAUCGUCAAGAACACCGAUAGUGUAGACAGCUUACUAGGCUUCAACUGACGCUGAGGCACGAAAGUGUGGGGAUCAAACAGG
This 253-nucleotide ribosomal RNA is filed under the name uncultured bacterium. RNAcentral describes it as "partial 16S ribosomal RNA". It matches the Rfam family "Bacterial small subunit ribosomal RNA", at positions 524 to 776 of the family's 1533-position model. The record is from RNAcentral.